GUAGUCCACGCCGUAAACGUUGGGCGCUAGAUGUGGGGACCUUUCCACGGUUUCCGUGUCGUAGCUAACGCAUUAAGCGCCCCGCCUGGGGAGUACGGCCGCAAGGCUAAAACUCAAAGGAAUUGACGGGGGCCCGCACAAGCGGCGGAGCAUGCGGAUUAAUUCGAUGCAACGCGAAGAACCUUACCAAGGCUUGACAUAACCGAGAACGCCGCAGAAAUGUGGAACUCUUUGGACACUCGGUUACAGGUGGUGCAUGGUUGUCGUCAGCUCGUGUCGUGAGAUGUUGGGUUAAGUCCUGCAACGAGCGCAACCCUCGUCGCAUGUUGCCAGCACGUCAUGGUGGGAACUCAUGUGAGACUGCCGGGGUCAACUCGGAGGAAGGUGGGGAUGACGUCAAAUCAUCAUGCCCCUUAUGUCUUGGGCUUCACGCAUGCUACAAUGGCCGGUACAAAGGGCUGCGAUGUCGUAAGGCGGAGCGAAUCCCAAAAAGCCGGUCUCAGUUCGGAUUGAGGUCUGCAACUCGACCUCAUGAAGUCGGAGUCGCUAGUAAUCGCAGAUCAGCAACGCUGCGGUGAAUA
RNAcentral lists this ribosomal RNA (581 nucleotides) under uncultured Agromyces sp. RNAcentral's name for it is "bacterial SSU rRNA". It matches the Rfam family "Bacterial small subunit ribosomal RNA", at positions 790 to 1368 of the family's 1533-position model. The record is from RNAcentral. Lineage: Bacteria; Bacillati; Actinomycetota; Actinomycetes; Micrococcales; Microbacteriaceae.